Molecule: ribosomal RNA, 441 nt
Filed under: uncultured bacterium
Lineage: Bacteria
Description: partial 16S ribosomal RNA
Rfam family: Bacterial small subunit ribosomal RNA
Source: RNAcentral
CCUACGGGUGGCAGCAGUGGGGGAUAUUGCACAAUGGGGGAAACCCUGAUGCAGCGACGCCGCGUGUGGGAAGACGGUCCUCUGGAUUGUAAACCACUGUCCCCAGGGACGAAGAUGACGGUACCUGGGGAGGAAGCUCCGGCUAACUACGUGCCAGCAGCCGCGGUAAUACGUAGGGAGCAAGCGUUGUCCGGAAUUACUGGGUGUAAAGGGAGCGUAGACGGCCAUGCAAGCCAGGGGUGAAAGCCCGGGGCCCAACCCCGGGACUGCCCUUGGAACUGUGCGGCUAGAGUGCGGGAGGGGCAGGCGGAAUUCCUGGUGUAGCGGUGAAAUGCGUAGAUAUCAGGAGGAACACCGGCGGCGAAGGCGGCCUGCUGGACCGCGACUGACGUUGAGGCUCGAAAGCGUGGGGAGCGAACAGGAUUAGAUACCCGAGUAGUC